AAACUUAAAGGAAUUGACGGGGGCCCGCACAAGCGGUGGUGCAUGUGGUUUAAUUCGACGCAACGCGAGGAACCUUACCUGGGUUUGACAUGGCGCGAGUAGUGAACCGAAAGGGGAACGACCCGUCAAGUCGGGAAGCGUCACAGGUGCUGCAUGGCUGUCGUCAGCUCGUGCCGUGAGGUGUUGGGUUAAGUCCCGCAACGAGCGCAACCCCCGCCCUUUGCUGCCAUCAGGUGAUGCUGGGCACUCGAAGGGGACUGCCAGCGAUGAGUUGGAGGAAGGUGGGGAUGACGUCAAGUCAUCAUGGCCUUUAUAUCCAGGGCGACACACGUGCAACAAUGGCCGGUACAGACGGACGCAAGACCGUAAGGUGGAGCAAAUCCGAGAAAGCCGGUCUCAGUUCGGAUUGAGGUCUGCAACUCGACCUCAUGAAGUCGGAAUCGCUAGUAAUCGCGUAUCAGAACGACGCGGUGAAUACGUUCCCGGGCCUUGUACACACCGCCCGUCACACCACGAAAGUCUGUUGUACCCGAAGUCGGUGUCCGAACCCCGCAAGGGGACGAAGCCGCCCAAGGUAUGGCCGAUGAUUNGGNNGAAGUCGUAACAA
Molecule: ribosomal RNA, 607 nt
Filed under: uncultured bacterium
Lineage: Bacteria
Description: bacterial SSU rRNA
Rfam family: Bacterial small subunit ribosomal RNA
Source: RNAcentral